UACGUAGGGGGCAAGCGUUGUCCGGAUUUAUUGGGCGUAAAGAGCGUGUAGGCGGCCAGACAGGUCAGCUGUGAAAACUCGAGGCUCAACCUCGAGACGUCGGUUGAAACCGUCUGGCUAGAGUCCGGAAGAGGAGAGUGGAAUUCCCGGUGUAGCGGUGAAAUGCGCAGAUAUCGGGAAGAACACCCGUGGCGAAAGCGGCCACCUGGACUGUACCUGACGCUCAAACGCGAAAGCUAGGGGAGCGAACGGG
This 253-nucleotide ribosomal RNA is filed under the name uncultured bacterium. Its description in RNAcentral is "partial 16S ribosomal RNA". It matches the Rfam family "Bacterial small subunit ribosomal RNA", at positions 524 to 776 of the family's 1533-position model. The record is from RNAcentral.